Long non-coding RNA from Drosophila navojoa, 2374 nucleotides. The record is from RefSeq and is a predicted model, not a curated record. Lineage: Eukaryota; Metazoa; Arthropoda; Insecta; Diptera; Drosophilidae.
CCUGUUGAGCAUUCCACAAGCUACUCAGAUUACAAACGAAAAUAGCCAUCGGGCCAAUUUGAUGCACUUUUGUCAUCCAAUAUUAUUCACGGACUGUACCUUUGUGAGCUGGCCCACUGGAUGUGGGCAGACCAAGCCCAAGGAGCAGGCCAAGCAGCGUACUCAAUGAUUUAUUCGUUUGUAAUUUCGAUGCGAGCCCACGAUCUGAGCGCCAAUGAGCCAAGCUGAUCCGCCAGAGCGCAUAUGUAUGUAUGUGUGCGUGUGUGAGUCUGUUUGUGCUCCAGUAAAACAUGCGACAGCGAACGCAAACAUGGACACUGAUCGCACAGCAGCGGCCAAAGCAAGUAAAAGGCCGGCAGCGAUUUCCACAGCCAACUGUCUAAACUGGGCCUAAAAAUGAUGGCCUAGACUCGAGCACACACCCAUGCAGGUGCCAAUGUGUGUGUGUGACAUCGGAGCAGCGUCGACUAAUGAAGAUGCGCGAUGCAUCAUGCGCGCCUGCCUAACAACCACGGCAGCAACCCACCUUCAAGAGUCAUUUGCAUGUUGUUGCAGGGAGACGACGGACAACAACAGCAGCAACAACAACAAGAACAACGAUGGCAACUGGCGCGGCGGGCUCUGUCGCUCUGGUCACCAAGUAUGUGGCAAGUUGUGGCAAGUAAUGCAAGAAGGAUUUGCUCUGGUCUACGGACUGGUUUUUGGGCGGCCGGGAGGCAGCUCUCGGCAUUUGGGUGUAAAAUAAAGGAAUGACUAAUUUUUCAACGUUUCGACGAAUGAUAAAUGUGGCAUGUGGCGAGCCCGAGAGCAAUCAUGUUGCACUGUCACUUGGGCACAGUCGCCGUCGCCGUCGCAGUCAGAGUCGCCCGUCGCCUAAGCUCUCUGCUGCUGCUGCCGCAUGUUGCAUGCUGGAAUUGUUGCAACGUCAUAAUUAUCCAUCCACGUCCUCGUCCGUGGCCCUGAGAAUGAGUAACGACUCUGCCGGUAAAUGGACAACGCCAGCCCCAGCCGCAGCCUCAGCCCCAGUCAUCGUCAGCUUCAGCCCCAGCCGCAGCCCCAGCUUUAGCCUCAACUUCAACUCAUCUCCUGUUGCCGGCCAUUCAUCGUACAUACGCAGUUCAUUUCAUACAAUAACUGAAGUUCUUUUUGCGUCCAGCUCCCGUCGCAUAGCGAGCGCCAUUUGGAAUUUAGUCAAACUCAUCGCAGAGACUGCAGAAAUUUGCAUUUUACCAAGUGACGAACGUCCAUUCCCCACACAUCUUAAGCCAUUAAGCAGGUCCAUGACAGAAGCCACCAUGAACGAGAUUUGAAGCCACCUAAAAUGCCAAAAAUAAUGCUGGAAUGUUUCAAAGAUAUGUGUUCGUUCCAUGCACUGACUGCCAGAGAUUACGCAGAAAGCACAGGCAGAGGCAACUGAAUGCUGAAUGCAAAUAGAGCUUGGAAAGCUCACUAAUGCUAGCACAAAUGCUGGCUUACGAAUACAUUCACUCGUGGCAAAAGGAAUUCAUUUCUAUUCAAGGUGGUCCAGCAAAGACAUUUCUCAUUUCGGCUGCCCUCGACCGAGGCUCGAGUGCAAAGUAAGAGAUGAUGCCCUAAAGGAAUCAUUUCAUAGUCAUCAUCGGAAGUACUAGUGCAGGAAUGAACUGGCCUGGCCAGACCAUGGCCUGCCUUCGUCAGAUGUUGCUGAUGUUUGCUUGACUGUUGUACUAGAGCUGUUGUUAAACUAGUUUGGCUGUGUUUUUUUUUCGCUCUCUUCAUGCUGGACCGAGCAUUUAAUGAAGUCAUUAAAAGCGGCGCGUGUGGCGCGAUCUCAAAUUACUUCGCAUAACCGAAAAUUACAUACAAAUGAAGGGAGCUCUGGCUCUAGUUGGUUGCUUGCAUGCGACUGCGACGGCGACUAGGACGCGCCCAGUAGAGCUUAAAAUAAACGCGGGAACCGCUCUGCAACGCAAUGAAAACAAGCGUUUACCUUGCAUCAGGGGCAGCUAAUGGAGCUGCAGCUUGGCUUUGCGCGACCUGCUGCUGCUGAGCGACUGUCAAACCGGUAGAGAGCCAACAGCCAGACAACCAACAACACUAACAACAACAGCAACAACAACAAUUACAUACAACAACCUUCAGAGCUGACUGCAUCCGCGAACUAAUGGACUGUGCAAAAAUGAGUGACGCAGCAUCAGUUGUGGCGGAGCCAUCGGUGAGUCCUGCGGCGAGAGAGCAGCAGCAGCUGGACAAACCAAUGCGACGACAAGGGCAACAACAACGUAUGCCAAGUCUUUAUAUGCAAUGGCCAUAUUUAGAUAAGGUAACGACAAAAUUUUUACAAUUUCUACAAUGCCGAACCGACUGACAAAUGCACAUCAGAGGGACGUGCAGG